AUGAGUAGGGCGGGACACGUGGUAUCCUGUCUGAAUAUGGGGGGACCAUCCUCCAAGGCUAAAUACUCCUGACUGACCGAUAGUGAACCAGUACCGUGAGGGAAAGGCGAAAAGAACCCCGGCGAGGGGAGUGAAAAAGAACCUGAAACCGUGUACGUACAAGCAGUGGGAGCACAGAGCAAUCUGUGUGACUGCGUACCUUUUGUAUAAUGGGUCAGCGACUUAUAUUCUGUAGCAAGGUUAACCGAAUAGGGGAGCCGAAGGGAAACCGAGUCUUAACUGGGCGUUAAGUUGCAGGGUAUAGACCCGAAACCCGGUGAUCUAGCCAUGGGCAGGUUGAAGGUUGGGUAACACUAACUGGAGGACCGAACCGACUAAUGUUGAAAAAUUAGCGGAUGACUUGUGGCUGGGGGUGAAAGGCCAAUCAAACCGGGAGAUAGCUGGUUCUCCCCGAAAGCUAUUUAGGUAGCGCCUCGUGAAUUCAUCUCCGGGGGUAGAGCACUGUUUCGGCAAGGGGGUCAUCCCGACUUACCAACCCGAUGCAAACUGCGAAUACCGGAGAAUGUUAUCACGGGAGACACACGGCGGGUGCUAACGUCCGUCGUGAAGAGGGAAACAACCCAGACCGCCAGCUAAGGUCCCAAAGUCAUGGUUAAGUGGGA
This 662-nucleotide ribosomal RNA is filed under the name Escherichia coli. RNAcentral's name for it is "partial 23S ribosomal RNA". It matches the Rfam family "Bacterial large subunit ribosomal RNA", at positions 408 to 1068 of the family's 2925-position model. The record is from RNAcentral. Lineage: Bacteria; Pseudomonadati; Pseudomonadota; Gammaproteobacteria; Enterobacterales; Enterobacteriaceae.